This is a long non-coding RNA of Bombyx mori (domestic silkworm), 1503 nucleotides long. RefSeq lists it as uncharacterized. The transcript is spliced from 2 exons. The record is from RefSeq and is a predicted model, not a curated record. NCBI's taxonomy places the organism in Eukaryota, Metazoa, Arthropoda, Insecta, Lepidoptera, Bombycidae.
AAUAUCAUCGUAGUUUAAGUUAUAGAUUAAUAUUAUUUAUUAAUUAUAUAUUCGUAUUUAAAUAUGAUUUCUUAACAGUAAAACAAAAUAGAAAUCGAAAUUCAAAAGUCAAACAGAAUACAAUUAUAGAACACAGUUUAAUCUGUCCUUUUCGUUUCUUUUGCAAUAUCAAUGACAGAUCAUCGAACCAACACAGUUUAAACUAUCAAUAAGUUUAAACCAUGUUUAAACCUUCCCAGAGUGGCGUUUAAACCUUCCUUCAUGGAUUAGAUGUAAAUAUGUCAUUGUCAAUAACGUUAAAAGAUUUUGUAUUUGGGUGUUUUUGAUAUUAACCAGUAACAUGGAAUAUUACAAUAGUGAUUCAGAUUUAGAUAUCGAUGAUUUAAAUGGUUUUUAUAUAUAUUAUAGUACGUUAUUCGUACAAGAAACAAUCAAUGGUAUGAGUGGGACGUUAUAAAAUUCGUACGGCGUUUUCGUGUUUCCAAAACAUCAGCACAACCUAUUUUAUGUGAAAUUGGAAACCAAAUUCGUCAUCCUGAUUCACGGAACAAUGCAUUAUCCCCAAUGAACCAACUUCUGCUUACACUAAGAUUCUAUGCAACUGGAAGUAUGCAAAUAACUGCUGGAGAUUUCAGUGGAGUUCAUCAAACUACAGCAGCAAAAACAAUUAAAAGAGUAACAAAAGCUAUUGCAGCCGACAGAUUUAACCAUCUUCAUCUUUCGCCAAUUGAACAACAACAAAAUCAAACUGACUUUUAUUCUAUUGCUAGAUUUCCUUGUGUAUAUAGUGCUCUAGACUGUACACAUAUUCGUUUACAAUCCCCAGGAGGGCAAAAUUCAGAGCAUAAUAGAAAUAGGAAUGGAUACUUUUCAUUAAAUGUCCUACCUAAAAUUUUUGGAUGUUGCAUGCUAGGUGGCCUGGUGCUAGUCAUGACAGUACUCUUUUUAAUAACAGUCGUUUGUGUGCUGUUUUCGAAUCAGGACAAAUGGGACAAAAUAUUCUUCUUGGUGAUGCUGGAUUUGAACUGAAAAACUAUUUAUUAACACCACUCCAGAAUCCAGUGACAUCAGCAGAAAAACUUUACAAUGAGUCUCAUAUUUGCACUAGAAAUUGUUUAGAAAGUUGCUUUGGAAUAUGGAAAAGACGCUUUCCUGUGUUAUCAAUUGGUAUGAGAGUAAAUCUAGAGUUAGUACAAGACAUUAUUGUUGCCUGUACAUUUUUCAUAAUAUAUACAUAAAUAACGGAGAUGUAAUUCCAAGUUUGAACAUAGAAAUAGCAAAUUCAAUAGAUUUGUCUAGCCACCCAAAAAAUGUUGAUAACGGAAAUUCCCUAUUUCCAUUUUAAAUGAUUGUUGUUAUCCCCUAACAACAAUCAUUUAAAAACACAAUUGUUAAUAAAUAGUUAUUUUAGUAUGUUACAUCAAAUAAAUAGAUCUUGCAUUAUAAAAACUAAAAUAGUUUAAUUAUUGUAAUAGUUUUACAAAUAAAACAACUUUUACAUAG